RNAcentral lists this microRNA (22 nucleotides) under Oreochromis niloticus (Nile tilapia). RNAcentral describes it as "oni-miR-10752". Lineage: Eukaryota; Metazoa; Chordata; Actinopteri; Cichliformes; Cichlidae. The record is from miRBase by way of RNAcentral.
CAGGACACAGAAUCGCUGGUGG